RNAcentral lists this non-coding RNA (67 nucleotides) under unclassified sequences. Its description in RNAcentral is "S15-Flavobacteria ribosomal protein leader". It matches the Rfam family "S15-Flavobacteria ribosomal protein leader". The record is from RNAcentral.
UACCUUUGCAACCGAAUUGGGAAACACCUAAUUCAUACAUAAUAAUCAUUUAAAUAAUAUUGGAAUG